This 73-nucleotide transfer RNA is filed under the name Ancylostoma caninum (dog hookworm). It matches the Rfam family "tRNA". From Rfam's summary of the family: Transfer RNA (tRNA) molecules are approximately 80 nucleotides in length. Their secondary structure includes four short double-helical elements and three loops (D, anti-codon, and T loops). Lineage: Eukaryota; Metazoa; Nematoda; Chromadorea; Rhabditida; Ancylostomatidae. The record is from Rfam by way of RNAcentral.
GCUUCCGUAGCGCAGUCGGCAGCGAAUCAGUCUAAUAAUCUGAAGGUCGUGAGUUCGAGCCUUACCGGGAGCA